AUGGGAAAGUUCCUAAUUGUAGAAAGUUUCCGUUUUGUUUUUGGAAUAAAUAAGCUGAAUUGAGUUCAUAAAUGGAACGAGAAGUUUUAUGAAGAUGACAUGGCAAGGAGAGAAUCAAGGAAGAGUUUUUUUUAAAAAAGGAAAAUAUAUUUUCCUUGGGGAUUAAAUUUGCCGUGUAAUACUUAAGGAAAAACAAGGUGACAACGUGGGAAUUGAAGAUGAUUGAUUGAGGAUUUCAAGGAGAGAUUUUCUUGGGAGACUUUUAUGGAAAGAAAUAUUGUUGGAGGAAUAAUUUGGUGUGAUUGCCAAUGUGAAAAUCAGAAAUAAUCAAGGAGAUGACGCCAAGAGAGAUUCAAGGGAGAUAUUUAUGGAAGGAAAAUAUGUGUGCACCAAGGAAAAGCUAAAAAGGCGUCUAGAUUCAUCCCUAAAUUCCCUAAAGGAAUGUUGGUCGAAAUUCAUGAAGAAAAUCAGAAUAAUUUCAAGG
RNAcentral lists this long non-coding RNA (484 nucleotides) under Rosa chinensis. RNAcentral's name for it is "sRNA RchiOBHm_Chr5g0005431". Lineage: Eukaryota; Viridiplantae; Streptophyta; Magnoliopsida; Rosales; Rosaceae. The record is from RNAcentral.